CCACAUCACCCCUCUGUCAUUUUCUU
This 26-nucleotide transfer RNA is filed under the name Alytes obstetricans boscai. RNAcentral's name for it is "partial tRNA-Ser". The record is from RNAcentral. Lineage: Eukaryota; Metazoa; Chordata; Amphibia; Anura; Alytidae.